This 448-nucleotide ribosomal RNA is filed under the name uncultured bacterium. Its description in RNAcentral is "SSU rRNA". It matches the Rfam family "Bacterial small subunit ribosomal RNA", at positions 26 to 518 of the family's 1533-position model. The record is from RNAcentral.
AGAGCGAACGCUGGCGGCAGGCUUAACACAUGCAAGUCGAGCGGGCGUAGCAAUACGUCAGCGGCAGACGGGUGAGUAACGCGUGGGAACGUACCUUUUGGUUCGGAACAACACAGGGAAACUUGUGCUAAUACCGGAUAAGCCCUUACGGGGAAAGAUUUAUCGCCGAAAGAUCGGCCCGCGUCUGAUUAGCUAGUUGGUGAGGUAACGGCUCACCAAGGCGACGAUCAGUAGCUGGUCUGAGAGGAUGAUCAGCCACAUUGGGACUGAGACACGGCCCAAACUCCUACGGGAGGCAGCAGUGGGGAAUAUUGGACAAUGGGCGCAAGCCUGAUCCAGCCAUGCCGCGUGAGUGAUGAAGGCCCUAGGGUUGUAAAGCUCUUUCAACGGUGAAGAUAAUGACGGUAACCGUAGAAGAAGCCCCGGCUAACUUCGUGCCAGCAGCCGC